UUGGCGAUGUUGUCGUGUUCACUUCAUCUGAAAUAUAUCUUUCAUGCUCCAAGCUACAUUUUUUUAUUACUGUUGUUCUGUUCUUCAUCAGCUGGAAGAAGAGACUUGGGUAGAUCAAGCAAUAUACCACAACGGUCAUAGAAGUGGCAAUCCAAUCAGAUCGAAUUAGAUAACGAUUGAAUUGAAUACAAUAUAGAUCAAAGUAUA
This 207-nucleotide long non-coding RNA is filed under the name Elaeis guineensis (African oil palm). Its description in RNAcentral is "long non-coding RNA (EGUI_LNC015831)". Lineage: Eukaryota; Viridiplantae; Streptophyta; Magnoliopsida; Arecales; Arecaceae. The record is from RNAcentral.